Molecule: long non-coding RNA, 2701 nt
Filed under: Paramuricea clavata
Lineage: Eukaryota; Metazoa; Cnidaria; Anthozoa; Malacalcyonacea; Plexauridae
Source: RNAcentral
CUGGCAACUAAUUGUGCCUAGUUGAAUUGUUAAAUUACUCAAUUCGUCAAUGCAGAAGUUGGUUUUAGUUUUAAUUGUUUCUUGUUAUGUGUUGCAUAUGUGAUUUCUAUUCUAGAAUCGGUUACACUACGUUCCUGACAAAAUUCAGUCACUUCAUUCUGAAAUGGCGAAACUCUCGAUGCUGGCAGAAAAUGUUGAGAAGAAAAAGGUAGAACGUGUAGAUUCGGGCAGAAAACAAUAGGACAGGAAGCGACUGUGAGUAACAGUGAACAUGCUUUCUGUUAUUUUAUUACCACUGAUCGCAAGAUCUAACAAUGGAAAGAGCAACCAUUCGAAUUCAGGGAAUUAAUUUUGAAGCCAGAAUAUUUACGAGGAGAGAUUUUUAAGUCUGUCUCAUUCGUUACGAAUCAAAUUGUGACGUGUUUAAAUUAAUGAUACUAUCAAGAAAGUAUCUUCUAUGAAACUUGAAAGAUAUUUCUUCCCACUCCUCUUCUGAUGAGUUCUAGAUCGUUUUAAACACGAGAUAGUAGUGGGCUUAAGCAAGCGACGUUUUUGUCAUGCAGAUUACGGGGGGGGGGGCUAAAAACUGUAUUUGUGUCAGUUUGUGGUAAUUUUCAACACAUGCAUACGACAAAACCAGGGCGUAACUACAGGGGGAUUUGGGGAGGGGGGACACCCCCAAUAUUGUAUUAUUGCAGUUUCGUCGGGCAAGUUUAACAAUUUUAACAAUUAAAAAACAUGUAUUUGAGCAAACAAUUGUACAUAAUUUAUUGAAAAGUAAUAGUUGUAGGGAAAAUUUUGAUAAAUUUACGAACAUAUUAUUGAAAAAUUGUACAAAUUACGGUACAUUAGUGACGUCCGUGUUGACAAAAACGGCGCUUGCAAAUAACCAAAUUCUUUGUAUAGACUAUAGGCAAUAUUUUUUUUAUUCUUAUACCAAUGAUAUGCAGAAACUUUAAGAAUCUCUUCUAACAUGUCACUGUAGAUGUGCGGUGGUCAGACCAUUGACUUCAUUGUCACUAUUCAGUCGUAGCUUUGAGAUCGGUGGAUGUUACCAAUGUCAGAGGAUAAUAGACAACUUGCAUGUUAGAUUAAUUUUUGAUUUAGACAAAAAAAAGUAAAUUCCCGUAAAGAACUUAUCAAAAUCAGUAAAAUUGCAAAAUUUGGUUACAAAAUGUUGUAAAAUACAGAAAAUAUAGCCUUGCGAAGUUUGCAUAUUUUCAGUAUGUUUGUAUUACGUUCGGAAAUUGUUACCAUUUUUGAGCCGAAAAUGGUAGCAAUUUCCGCACGUAAUACAAAUAUACUGAAAAUAUGCAAACUUCGCAAGGCUAUAUUUUCCGUAUUUUACAACAUUUCGCAACCAAAUUUCGCAAUUUUACUAAUUUCAUUAUGUUCUUUUUAACUGUGGUGUUUGAUUCCCUUCUCUUUACUUAGAUUAAAAUUUAGUCUAACAUGCAAGUUGUCAAUUGGAGAGUGUAAGAAUUUUUGUUCAUUACCAGCAUACACGCGUAAAUAUCUCACAGCUUGUGAACAAGAUGUGUUCGCAAUGCUUGUUACAAGUUGUUGACAACUCUGGAACAAGUUGUUGUCAUCUUGUUACAAGGUUGAUGUGGCCAACAGACUCGCACAAAAGUUGUUCCAACAAGACUGGUAUAUAGUCUGUACGUGACAAAUUGUUAACAAGUUGAUAAUAACGUUGUAACAAGAUGAUAACAGCUAGUUCCCAGGCUUGAUAACAACCUGUUAGAACCUUUUUGCAGAUCUGGAACAACUUAUGCGUUUUUACUUGUGUAAGGUGCAAAUUCUUUGUGAAAUGCGUGGAUAAUGCACCAUUUCGAUGCAUGGGCGGAUCUAACCUCAUGUGCAAGGAGGUGUGCAGGUUUUCCAUGGGGGUGGAGCAUAAGGGAGCCUUGCUGCCUACUCUCCUCUGCAGUCUGCAACGCUACUAUCCCAACAUUACCAUUAUUUGAGAUGGCCGAAUCUGCAUGUUCAACGUUCUGUUACGUUUUACAUUAUCUUUUGUUUAUAAAGUUUAUAUUGGUUUUUUAUCACUUAUGCUUGCCUGGACAGUUGUUGUAGCACAGUACAGUAAGGGGCUGAUUACAUGGACCGGGCCAGCCCGGUUAACCGGGCUGAAAAAUGUCACGAAAAUCUUCCUUGGGCCGCAAAAUGAGUUUUGAAUCAGGUUUAGGAUGAUUUUGCAUCUAUAAUGAACCAACUACGACACAAACUGAAUACUUUCCCAAUAAAAAUGCUCAUAUGACAUAUAUACCAAACUCCCUGCCUCGUACCCAGGCGCUUUAAAUAAUUAUAAUACAUGAAGCAUUCAGGCUCGUACCCAGGCGCUUUAAAAUAAUUAUAAUACAUGAGGCAGGCAGGCACGCACGAAGGGGCUGCUGGGAAGGGACUUCUUGUAAACUCGUCAUAUGCGUAUCGCUGUUUUUUUUACAAAGAGUUGGGUGACUAUCUCGAGGCAGCCAAGAUCCAGUAUGCUCACGAGCAUGCUCAAUUUACUCAAAUCCAGUAUACUCAUGUCAAGCCUAUUACCCCAUAUUUCAAACAUCAUUAAUAAUUCAUAAGCUUAUUGGCAAAUCAUGUAAACUAUAACAUGUCACGUGCAGUGGCUUUAAACCUGAUAAAACACUCCUAAUUAGUAUUCUUUAUAUAAAGAAUACUAAUAAGGCAGUAUCUAUUGUUGUCG